This 309-nucleotide ribosomal RNA is filed under the name uncultured bacterium. RNAcentral describes it as "bacterial SSU rRNA". It matches the Rfam family "Bacterial small subunit ribosomal RNA", at positions 28 to 334 of the family's 1533-position model. The record is from RNAcentral.
GAUGAACGCUAGCGGCAGGCCUAAUACAUGCAAGUCGAGGGGUAACAUGAGUGCUUGCACUUGAUGACGACCGGCGCACGGGUGCGUAACGCGUAUGCAACCUACCUAUAACAGAGGGAUAGCCCAGAGAAAUUUGGAUUAAUACCUCAUGAUACUGCGAGACCACAUGGUUUUGUAGUUAAAACUCCGGUGGUUAUAGAUGGGCAUGCGUUAGAUUAGCUAGUUGGUAAGGUAAUGGCUUACCAAGGCAACGAUCUAUAGGGGGUCUGAGAGGAUGGUCCCCCACACUGGAACUGAGACACGGUCCAG